CCUACGGGAGGCAGCAGUAGGGAAUUUUCGUCAAUGGGCGCAAGCCUGAACGAGCAAUGCCGCGUGAACGAGGAAGGUCUUCGGAUCGUAAAGUUCUGUUGAAGGGGAAAAAGAGCGGAGAGAGGAAAUGGUCUCCGAUUGAUAUUACCCUUCGAGGCAGUCACGGCUAACUACGUGCCAGCAGCCGCGGUAAUACGUAGGUGGCGAGCGUUAUCCGGAAUGAUUGGGCGUAAAGGGUGCGUAGGCGGCCUGCUAAGUCUGGAGUGAAAGGUACCGGCUCAACCGGUACAGGCUCUGGAAACUGGCGGGCUAGAGAGCAGGAGAGGGCGGUGGAACUCCAUGUGUAGCGGUAAAAUGCGUAGAUAUAUGGAAGAACACCAGUGGCGAAGGCGGCCGCCUGGCCUGUGACUGACGCUGAGGCACGAAAGCGUGGGGAGCAAAUAGGAUUAGAUACCCCAGUAGUC
RNAcentral lists this ribosomal RNA (464 nucleotides) under uncultured bacterium. RNAcentral's name for it is "partial 16S ribosomal RNA". It matches the Rfam family "Bacterial small subunit ribosomal RNA", at positions 338 to 795 of the family's 1533-position model. The record is from RNAcentral.